GAUCUUUAUAGAUUAAUAAUUAAAUAAAAAUUAGUUAAAUAUUUAUUUUUAAUUUUUAAUAUAUUAUAUUGGGGUAAUAAUAAAAUUUAAUAAAUUUUUAUUUUUUGUAAACAAAUAUAAUUGAUUAAUUGAUCCAAUAAUAUUGAUUAUAAAGUUAAGUUACCUUAGGGAUAACAGCAUAAUGAUUUUUGAGAGUUCUUAUCGAUAAAAUAGAUUAU
This 218-nucleotide ribosomal RNA is filed under the name Sciopemyia sordellii. RNAcentral's name for it is "partial 16S ribosomal RNA". Lineage: Eukaryota; Metazoa; Arthropoda; Insecta; Diptera; Psychodidae. The record is from RNAcentral.